CCAGGUAGAAGGAGAUUCAGGAGAAAGAGACUGAUUUAGGAGAAAAAGCAUUUAGUACUUUCCUUCUAGGUGAAAAGAGCUAUAGAAGGAGAGGCAGACCUGCGGUCAGCCCGGAAACAGUGGUAGGGCUCCAAGGAGUUAGUGUUUUGGGUUAUUGCUGUGAAAGCAGAAGUGGGUAAUAGAGAACUGCAACCUCAAGUCUUAGAUGAGUGGCUGUGGCUUAAGCAGUGUUUAGCAUUCUCGGAGGUUUUUGAGAGUAAGUGCUGGGGAACCUACUACUCUAAAACUGGAUUGAAGAGGAGCCGGGAGGUGGGGGGGGGUAGAAGACAUUGCAUUGAUAGUGCCAAAACACAAUACUGGCUAUUUGUUUUGGCCAGUGAUAAGCCAGAAGGGUGAGACUAUAUGUGAUCUAUCUGGAGGGUCAAGUCACUAGAAGAACUUGAUCACCGCAAGGCCUGAAUGCCUAUCAGAAGGAAGUGACUGAAGGAGAAAGUCUUGCAAUGAACUGCUUAGUUGUGUGGGGCUCACUGACUGGCUAAUACUUACUGCAGUGGACAUGAGAAUGUUUCCAAGUGCAUCCAGGGUGCCUAAAUGCCAGAGGUUUUGUAUCUAGAGGACAACUUUCUGUAUCUUCAUAUUUAUUAAUAUUAUGGCACAGUGCUUCUGAAAUCCCUAUCCACUUCCUUGUAAACUAACUGACCUUGGAGCAAAGUACUUUAGAAACCAACUGAAGCAAGAGAAGACAUUGCUGGAUACAUGCGCUCCCUCCUGCUGUCCCGUUUGUCAGAGUAUGCCACUAAGCUUGUGGCAUUGUUUUGGGGGCGUGGUCGACAGACUUUCAGGAAGGCCAGAAACAUACCUUGUGAAUUUUACAGGAGGCAGGAAUUUGGAAGUGAAAAUAUGAGAAAAAUGGAUUUUUUUAAUCUAUCCUAGAAUUUGUGCUGGCAAGGAUUUGAUACUAAACAAACCAGUCACCAUAACUUAUGAAAAGUAGAGUUCUUUGGAUGGAAUGCCACUACAGACUUCUCUGACUUAGCACUCUUUCAAAGCACCUAUUGAGGAAAGCUGGACCAGACUGAAGUGGGGUUUGAAAGACAAAAGACCAAAUAAUGGAUGCCAAAGACAGAAGUAGUCUUAUCAAACCAGAGUUCUCCUUAAAGUCAGACCAAGCGAUGAGUUUCAAGUUUGCUGCUUUUACUUAUGAAGUUUCCAGCAUAACCUCUUCAAUAAAACACUGUUUCCUAUUUGAAAUGUUAUAAGUACAGUCGUUUCAUCUUUGACUACAAAUGAUGCAUUUAUAGAAACAUUGCCCCUUGGUAAUGAUUAUUUAAUUUCCCCUUGCAAGUGAGGAUUAAUUUGUUUGUAAAUAAAAAACCUAAUGUAUAUUUUACUACAAAUACUGAAUAGUUAUUCCAAGAAGAUUGCACAUGGUAUGAAAGCAGUUGCCAAUUUCAUUUUUGUUUCCAAGGCAAACACUCCUUGUGCUAUUGAAACUAUGGCUUUCUGAAAGGUUUGAAAGUAAACAAAGCUAAUAUAUUUUGUGCCAUGUAACAGGUCCUCUGCCCACCCCUCUUCCUGGGGCCCACUGGCAGCCCCAAUAAAGUUCAGAGAGGCUUCUAGUUCUACAGCACCUGUGGUUUUAUUUACACUCUGUUCUCCCAUCACCAGUGAUAUACUAUA
Long non-coding RNA from Mauremys reevesii (Reeves's turtle), 1680 nucleotides. RefSeq lists it as uncharacterized. The record is from RefSeq and is a predicted model, not a curated record. NCBI's taxonomy places the organism in Eukaryota, Metazoa, Chordata, Testudines, Geoemydidae. The transcript has 6 exons.